GAAAUAUAUUUAAAUAAAGCUGCUAACUUUAUUUUUAGUGGUUAAAUUCCAUUAAUAUUUCU
This 62-nucleotide transfer RNA is filed under the name Scythropia crataegella. Its description in RNAcentral is "tRNA-Ser". The record is from RNAcentral. Lineage: Eukaryota; Metazoa; Arthropoda; Insecta; Lepidoptera; Scythropiidae.